UGGGGAAUUUUGGACAAUGGGCGAAAGCCUGAUCCAGCAAUGCCGCGUGUGUGAAGAAGGCCUUCGGGUUGUAAAGCACUUUUGUCCGGAAAGAAAUCCUUGGCUCUAAUACAGUCGGGGGAUGACGGUACCGGAAGAAUAAGCACCGGCUAACUACGUGCCAGCAGCCGCGGUAAUACGUAGGGUGCAAGCGUUAAUCGGAAUUACUGGGCGUAAAGCGUGCGCAGGCGGUUUGCUAAGACCGAUGUGAAAUCCCCGGGCUCAACCUGGGAACUGCAUUGGUGACUGGCAGGCUAGAGUAUGGCAGAGGGGGGUAGAAUUCCACGUGUAGCAGUGAAAUGCGUAGAGAUGUGGAGGAAUACCGAUGACGAAGGCAGCCCCCUGGGCCAAUACUGACGCUCAUGCACGAAAGCGUGGGGAGCAAACAGGAUUAGAUACCCUGGUAGUCCACGCCCUAAACGAUGUCAACUAGUUGUUGGGGAUUCAUUUCCUUAGUAACGUAGCUAACGCGUGAAGUUGACCGCCUGGGGAGUACGGUCG
This 540-nucleotide ribosomal RNA is filed under the name uncultured bacterium. RNAcentral's name for it is "partial 16S ribosomal RNA". It matches the Rfam family "Bacterial small subunit ribosomal RNA", at positions 355 to 888 of the family's 1533-position model. The record is from RNAcentral.